Molecule: ribosomal RNA, 253 nt
Filed under: uncultured bacterium
Lineage: Bacteria
Description: partial 16S ribosomal RNA
Rfam family: Bacterial small subunit ribosomal RNA
Source: RNAcentral
UACGUAGGGGGCUAGCGUUGUCCGGAUUUAUUGGGCGUAAAGAGCGUGUAGGCGGUCAGGUAGGUCCGUUGUGAAAACUCGAGGCUCAACCUCGAGACGCCGAUGGAAACCAUCUGACUAGAGUCCGGAAGAGGAGAGUGGAAUUCCUGGUGUAGCGGUGAAAUGCGCAGAUAUCAGGAAGAACACCCGUGGCUAAGGCGGCUCUCUAGUACGGUACUGACGCUGAGACGCGAAAGCGUGGGGAGCGAACCGG